Molecule: ribosomal RNA, 343 nt
Filed under: Ixodes muris (mouse tick)
Lineage: Eukaryota; Metazoa; Arthropoda; Arachnida; Ixodida; Ixodidae
Description: partial small subunit ribosomal RNA
Source: RNAcentral
AUUAUUUUAAGCUAUACGUUGGUAGUAAAUAAAAAUUAUGAAAUCAUAAAAUUUUGGCGGUAUUUUAAGCUUAUUAGAGGAAUUUGCUCUGUGAUGGAUACAACGCCUAGAUCUUACUUAGUUUAGUAAUUUAAGUCAGUUUGUAUACCACUAUAUUUAAUUAUAUUGAAUAGUUAUAUUUAAGAUUUUUAAAUAAAAUAUAUAUUAAGUCAAGGUGCAACAAAUAACUAUGAAUGAGGUGAAUUACAUUAAUUUUGAUGGUAUUUUAUUUUUGGAAAAAAAAAUUAUAGGAUUUAAUAGUAAAAUAUUAAUAUGAUGAAUAUUUGAAUAGAGCUCUAAAAUA